RNAcentral lists this ribosomal RNA (342 nucleotides) under Fragilariales sp. endosymbiont of Amphistegina gibbosa. RNAcentral describes it as "SSU rRNA". It matches the Rfam family "Eukaryotic small subunit ribosomal RNA", at positions 1460 to 1804 of the family's 1831-position model. The record is from RNAcentral. Lineage: Eukaryota; Bacillariophyta; Fragilariophyceae; Fragilariales.
GUCUGUGAUGCCCUUAGAUGUCCUGGGCGGCACGCGCGUUACACUGAUGCACUCAACGAGUCUACCUUGGCCGAGAGGCCUGGGAAAUCUUGUUAACAUGCAUCGUGAUAGGGAUAGAUUAUUGCAAUUAUUAAUCUUGAACGAGGAAUUCCUAGUAAACGCAGAUCAUCAAUCUGCAUUGAUUACGUCCCUGCCCUUUGUACACACCGCCCGUCGCACCUACCGAUUGAAUGGUCCGGUGAAGCCUCGGGAUUGCGAUGAGUUUCCUUCAUUGGGAGUUCGUCGCGAGAACCUGUCUAAACCUUAUCAUUUAGAGGAAGGUGAAGUCGUAACAAGGUUUCC